GAUGAACGCUGGCGGCGUGCUUAACACAUGCAAGUCGAACGAUGAAGCCCAGCUUGCUGGGUGGAUUAGUGGCGAACGGGUGAGUAACACGUGAGUAACCUGCCCUUAACUCUGGGAUAAGCCUGGGAAACUGGGUCUAAUACCGGAUAGGAGCGUCUACCGCAUGGUGGGUGUUGGAAAGAUUUAUCGGUUUUGGAUGGACUCGCGGCCUAUCAGCUUGUUGGUGGGGUAGUGGCUCACCAAGGCGACGACGGGUAGCCGGCCUGAGAGGGUGACCGGCAACACUGGGCCUGGGACACGGCCCGGCUUCCACCGGGGGGAAGCGGGGGGGAUAAUUGACCAUUGGGCGCAAGCUGGUGGCAGCGACGCGGCGUGGGGGAGACCGGCCUUCGGGUGGUAACCGUCUUCCAGUAGGAAAGAAGCGAGUGUGACGGUACCUGCAGAAGAAGCACCGGCUAACUACGUG
RNAcentral lists this ribosomal RNA (466 nucleotides) under uncultured bacterium. Its description in RNAcentral is "partial 16S ribosomal RNA". It matches the Rfam family "Bacterial small subunit ribosomal RNA", at positions 28 to 507 of the family's 1533-position model. The record is from RNAcentral.